UGAACACUCCAAGAAAAUCUCGGUAUAUUGGGGAUUGCAUGGAAUACUGUGAAUGAAGUUUUAACUGAUAGAAUCUACUGGAGAUGGCCUGUGCAGACAGACUUGGGAGAAAGAGAGAGAAGAAAGUUAUUAUUAAGCUGUUUAAUAAUGAAAAAGUAACGGAGGCAUGACGUAUGAGGAAUCAUUAACAGUGCAUCAAUUAAACAACACGAAUCCCGGAAUUCGAAUUAUAUUGGGAGGAACUACAAUUCAUAACUUUAACAGUUUUCUAGAAGAGAUCAAAUCCAUUUUGGAUUCAGGAAUUGGCCAGAAGAAUCCUCGAUGGUGAUUUAACGACCAAACUUUGUUAAUUUUAUUCCAGCGAGUACUCUCGAUCUGUCAUUCGGUUGCUAUAUUUAUGGUAAAUUAACUUAAUGUCAUACUGUAUACAUUGUUAUCUUUUGUUAACCAUUCAAACUAAAUUAGCUAUGGACAAAGCAUUGUAAGUACGGAAAAAUUAAUCCAGAGUGCUUAGUUUCGAGUUACGUAUGCAGUAAUAUCAAGAUUUUUGUAACGUAACUAUUCAUUGAACUGUUUAUGUUACAAUGCAUGUAAUUGGAGACUAAAUAUUCAAAUAUUAUUAAAAAUUUAACUUUAUUUAACUAAUUCAGAUAGAAAUAAAUUUAAAUAUCUUGUAAAUAGUGUAAUUAUAAUUGAGGUAUCAUAAAAAAUCAGCUUUAAAGUAAAAACUAAAUUGAAGAAAUUUAAGAAUUGAAUUAUCAUUCCUAUUUUAUUAUAAAACUUUUUGUAUAAUUUUAUUUAUUCAGACUUGUUAAGUUUAAAAUAUACAGGAAAACCUCAUUAAAUUCAAAUUCCGAUACUCCAAUUAGAUAUUCUGUUCAGAAACAAUCACAAAAUACAGUUCCAAAGAUUCAAACUCUAAUUAAAUAUUUUAAGAAAGGAUAAGUAAUUAAACGUUAUUAUCUUUAGAAUUACAAUUAAUUUAUAAAGCCUAAAAUAUGAAUUUUUAUUAAUAAAUAAUGAUCCCACAGUUUAUAUAGGAACAUUUGAAUUGAGUUAAUAGAGUUGUUGCUCAUACUGUCAUUUAGGUAGAAGAUUGAUGCUUUCAAUCCAUUGAUUUCUAUUUUUAAAAUCCAAAAUAUAUUCUGUUAUAAACUUACGACUCAUACAACAAAAACAGACGAAAUUAUUAUUUAUGUUUUCUAUUUAUAAUGGAGUAUGAUAAAGUAUUCAAUUUGUAGCCCUUUACUAUAAAAAAAGUUGUCCACUCUCUGCUUAAGACAAGCGUCUAAAGUAAGUUUGUUAAAAAGUGUUAUAUGCUAAUGGAAUGUCUAAGAAUGUCAGCAAAAGUACUUUUCUACAGUGUAUCUGCCAUACGAAUAUACCAUACAUUACUCUCAUAUGUUGUCUAGGCAACAUCUGUACAAAAGUACCAGUACAUUCAUUAUAAUGGACAUGCUUUAUAUGCAUGUGUUCCCGGCCUUAAUUAUAUCUUCUUGAUGACAAUGCACUUUUAUCCUGUCCGUAUUGAUCUUAUAUAACAGAUAACAAGCAAUAAACAACAGAUGUUAGACUUUAAAACAUUAUAAAUACACAAAUAUUACCAUUUACAUUCAUCUAAAAUGUAUAAAACAGCUUUUCUCUAAGAUGUUGGCAGGAAUUAUGCAGAAAAAAUAUGCGUACAGAAAGCUCUCCGGGUAUGAAUCGAAGCAUACUUGCAGAAUCCUUCCGAACUAACCAAGGUGCCAUUUUGACAAUUGAUGUCUAUGAGAAAGUUCGGUUCUGCGACCCAAUAAAGUUACUUUCCAAAAUUCAAAGACAUUCCCACUAAGAACCGUGGAGGAAGACAAGAAAAAUAGCUUCAAAAAAUGUUUAUAAGGUUUUUAAAGUCUGAUUCCUUCGGUUAUUGCUGGCUGUUUCUUAUCAAUUGUGAAAGAUAAUAGCAGCUAUAAUGUUGUAUAACUUAUUUCUUUACUUACCCAUUCAAGUAUUACAUAAGAUAAAUUUUGCUAAAAUAUAUUAUAAACACAAGAUAGUAAACUUGAAAAUUUUACUUCUAAACAACAAAAACUAAACAUCAAGUUAAUAAGUUUAAUUAGUAUCAAGCUCAAAGGAUUUGUAACUAAUCCAUUAAACAGAUAAAAUAAUUUUGAAAGUCUAUACAGUUAAUCAUAGAACUCACAAAUAAUUGCACGUGUGGAGUUUUUGAUGCUGUGAGUCGGAUCUGGUGAUGCCGUGAAUUGCCAAAAGUGAUUUGUGGCAUCAACAAGUGACCUCUCAGCAUUGUACACUCCUGAAGCUACAUCUUGUGAGUUCUACUUUCAUUUGAUCACCCAGAAUAAUACACAUAAUUUUGGUCUUCUAUGUUAUCGAUACAUUUAAUUGUGUUUUUUUCUAAAAAAUACAAGAAAUUACACUAACAAAUGAUGUUUUCCUGUAUUCCAUAAUGAUUUUAUAGCUUUCGUAAUGCUAUUUUGAUGUUAAAAUUAUUCAAUUUUAUACAUAUAAGUGCAGCUCGGUGUUUUGUGUGUCUAUCCUCUCGAUGUAUAGCUUUGAUAUUGAAUUACAAAAUAUUAGAAGUUAAUAAUUUAUAAGUCUAAUGUGUUUAUAAAUGUUUUUAUAAAAUUUAUAUUCUGUAUGAGCUGUUUACCAUAAAAAAUAAUUUAUUUAUGCAUUUUUGACAUUUCUAAAGUCAUAUUCUGUUAUCGAUGAUGUCAUAAAAUAAUAGCUUGUGUUGAAAUUUAUUUAAAAUUCAAAUGAUAAUCUGAAAUUUCUGGAAAAUUUAAUAAAAUAAUAAUUUAAAAUUUGUCGACAAUAUUAAAUCAACUUUAAUCAAUACAUUGUUCUAUUUAUGUUCUAGUAACAACUGUUCUACUCUGUGGUGGCUUUCUCACGAGGCUUCUGGGUCUGGGAACAAAAGUUCGGAAACAAAAAUUAGGAAUAUUGUGCUGUUGUGAGCCUAAGAACACUAUUUCUAAAUCUGUGACUAAUUCUAUUACUAUCGGAGCUUAUUCCGAUGGUAAGGAUCAUCACCAUUCCUCCUUACCGUUAUAGGCAGCAUCGUGAUAUGAAACUUGUGCAUUUUCACAGUCCCACACAAAGAGAUACUUAGUUAACAUAUAAUCCUUGAUACCUCACAGAUACACCAUUGUAGUUCCACGGUGCCAUGUUUCUAAAUAUGUCACUGGUUCUAUUACCAUUAUGAUCCUUACUCAACUUGUGCAUUCUCACAGAGAUGCUUACAAAGGCGUCAUGCUUGGUUACCACUCAAUUCUUGAUACUUCGAAUAGGCCCCAUAUUUAUAUAUUCAGCAUACCCUGCAAAAUAUGGAAAGUUCUGCAUCCACUCGGACAUGUAUUGUUCUGGUUUUCGAGAGUAAGUAAUGAGAGUAAGAUAGUGGGCCUCUCAGAAAUUAAGAGAGGCCCACCGGUUACCAUUUUUGAGGCUUUACUUAUUGAAGAAACUACAUAUUGAUUAAUUAAUUAAUUAAUUUUACUUAUUAGAAAUUGUAAAUAUAAGAA
Molecule: long non-coding RNA, 3521 nt
Organism: Centruroides sculpturatus (bark scorpion)
Lineage: Eukaryota; Metazoa; Arthropoda; Arachnida; Scorpiones; Buthidae
Exons: 3
Source: RefSeq, a predicted model, not a curated record